GGACGGAUAAGUCAGCGGUAGAGUGUUUGAUUGCAGAUCGAACAGUCCCUGGUUCCCGGGUACGUCCU
RNAcentral lists this transfer RNA (68 nucleotides) under Talaromyces pinophilus. Its description in RNAcentral is "tRNA-Cys (GCA) (tRNA-Cys-GCA-2-1)". It matches the Rfam family "tRNA". From Rfam's summary of the family: Transfer RNA (tRNA) molecules are approximately 80 nucleotides in length. Lineage: Eukaryota; Fungi; Ascomycota; Eurotiomycetes; Eurotiales; Trichocomaceae. The record is from RNAcentral.